This is a long non-coding RNA of Corvus moneduloides (New Caledonian crow), 1985 nucleotides long. The record is from Ensembl. Lineage: Eukaryota; Metazoa; Chordata; Aves; Passeriformes; Corvidae.
UAUAAAGUACACAAAUACUCGCUAAAAAGCAAAGAUUAUAUAACCCCCAUUUAGCACAAAAAGGAUGCCUUUAUGAUGUCCAUCUGCAGCCAAAUUCUGCCUACAUUCCAUCUCAGAGCAUAUAGAUAAGUGCAUUUCUCAAAUUCUGUGGAGGCUAUAGAACUUAAAUAUGAAGACACAUUACUGGUUUCAUUAGAAGCUGUAAUAUACUUGAUUUCAGAGACUGGAUCUUUGUCACAAGGUCUGCAUUAACUCCCAUUUGUUCUUAUUCUGAGGAAAAUAAAGCGUAUUUCUGGAAUUGAAACCUUGAUCUACCAGAGGAAGGAAUUUGCCUUUGGGCUCCUGAUGAGACACAGAGUGCUAAGUGUCUGUGGUUGAGAGAGACUACAAAAAAGGAAAAGCAGAGAUACAACGAUGCGUUACUUGUGGACACCACAGGAUAAGAGCUCUCCUUCAAUAUUACUCCUGCUGUCCAAUUUAUUUCACAAGGGAGUAAAUGUUACAAUGUUUGCCCACAUGACUGGUUUAUCUCUGCAAGCCUGGCUGCACACUGUAAAUGGCAAACACAGCUACAGUACUAGUCAGCAGUGGAAUGUGAUGGUUCUGUCCUCCACCAUAUAAUUUAAAACCUGCUCUCACCCUUGGCAAAUCUCUCAAUUAAAAUCCCAAUCACAGCUUUUCUUGGGCUUUUGGAUAUCAUAAGCCCAAGGGGAGAAACACUGUUUUCUACUAAAAAAAUCAGGCGGUGCUUCAUCUCUACCCAAUAUAUUAGUCAUGCAGAAAAAAAUGCAUUAAAAGAAAUUCAUGUUUCUUAGAAUGAGGUAACUCAGAGCUUGCAAAGCUGCCAGUCUGUAUUUUCAGUUCAACAGGAUAAAGGAACUGGACAUGUAAAAAUAAUUUUCUUGCAAAUUGUACCAAGAUGACUUUAAACAGCUAAAUAAUUGCAAUUACAAUGACAUUAUUUUCAGGCCUUUAAGGAAAAAAAAUGAGGUUAUGUAAGAAUGAAGUGCAACAGAAGUAUUUGUUCUUUCAUAUUUUUGAACAUUUGGAUGUGAUUUGUCACUGUGUUUACGUUUAGAUGCUUUGUGGAUCAAGGCAUGAUGGAGGAAUUAGGUUUCACUUAUAUGAAAAUUCAGGCAAGAUUAAUUUUGUUCUGUAGCCUUUUUUAAGCCUGGGUUUUAACAUUCCACAUCAACUGUCACACUGAGACAGGGGUUAGGUGAACAUCUGCCAGUAGCACCACAAGCAGUAUUGGUGAUUUUGAGUAGUAACUGGAAUUGGAAGUUUUGCUGAAAAUUAUGAGGUUAAAUAAUAACAAAAAAUCAAAACUUAAAAAAAAAAAUUUGUUUUCAUCUGUCCUGUUUUCUUAAGCGUUCACAUUUCAAAACUUAUCCAUGUGCCCAUAAGAGCUGGAAAAAAAAAUUUCUCAUGCAUUGAAAAAGAGAAGCUGAGUUUCCCAUGUUCCAGGAGCUGGGACUGCUGAAAGGACAACAGAAUAAAUUUUGAGAAUUGCAAUGUUCUGUAACAGAAAUAGUUGGUGAGAGUUAAAAUAGCAUCACGUUCUUUUGGCUGCAUAACUUUGAUAUUUAAAUUAUCUGCUGCAUUCCCUUCCUCUGAUAACUGAACCUUAUGUAAUGGAAAACAAUAAUCUAAUAUCCUAAUAGACUUUUAACAUGGCCAUUAGCCAGCACGUCCAGUGGAAAUAAAUGCCUAUAUUAUUAGUCCAAUCUAUCACGAGAUCUUGCAGCAUUUGGGACAUUCCCUUGGGUCAUCAUUGCACACACCUCCUAUAAUAAAUCUUAAAUUGUGACAAAUAAUGUCUUUUUCCUGUGGAUACCCCCUCUCUUCUAUAUCUGUUUGUUUUCUAAAAUAUAGUGGAUUUUUUAUGCAGCGGGAAAAAUGGUGGUUAAUGAAUGAUAAAAAAAUAUAAUUUAUCCUAUUAAAGCCCAGUCUUUGUUUUCUGUUUCUGUGUGGUUUAGACCUUG